UAUCUUCUCUUUCUUCCUGCCUUGAACAGGAAUGUGGUGACUGGUGCUGUGGCAGCCAUCUUGCAACUAUGAGGCAGACACAGAGAGCAUUUCAGAAGGAUGUCACAAGGACAAUGAGAUGUGAAAGUACUUGGAUUGUGAAAUAUCAGGUAUUAUAUUCAAUUAUGUACAUAUAUUUCACCGUAUUUUGGUUAUUAAUCAAUCACUCCACUGCUGCGGAGCUCAGAAAGUAAUUGUUGAAUGGAUGAAUGAAGGCUAGACACACAGGGGAACAGAGGUACAGGUCAUAGAUUUUAUUAGCAAAUUUUAAUCUAGCAUCUUUUGAUAAGGGAUAACUAUGUCUAAAGUGAACUAAAACUGAAAUAUCUAAAUAUCAGGCUGGGUACUAAGGAAAGCUACGGCAUAGGAUACUACACAGUCAAGGGCCAAAUCUACUCCACGUAGGAUUGCAGCUCUGUAAUUUCAAAGCAGAGUGACGAUCCUCAGGCUGGGGCAGUGAGGACGGAUGUCCGAGCCAGAUGCUAGCUUUGCAGCAGACCUGAGUAUGUGUGUAGGAAUGGGGUAGGCAGAGAAGAGGUGGGGAAGCUGCAGGGUAUCACACAAAGAUGGAAAAAUGGCAGGAAAAAAUGCCUACAUUUUUCUUUUAAGUAGGAAGAAGGGCUCUUAAAUUCGAGUCAUUUGGCUGGAAGAUGACUCAGGAAAAAAAGAUAAUAAAUAGUGCUUUAAGACAUAUUUACUAAAAUAAGAGGUUCUCCAUUUUCUCUUAAUAAAGUUCUUUUUUUUUUCUUUCUUUCUUUCUUCUUAGAGUCUCAGACAGUGGGGUCAGAGAGACGAGGUAGACAACAUUGCGGAGGGCAGAAGAGCUCUCCAGAAAAGGGAAAAAGAUUCAGUUGUUGGUGGGAUUUUACUGCCUUUACCUUUGGCUGGUUUGUUUGAGGACAGGGUGGUAAGGCUGGGAUCGGGGAGGGCGAGCUCUGAGAUCCAGUGCUAGACCUCGAUUACUCAUUUGAGACUCACUGGGAGUUCCCACUGAGGAUCAGCAGGUUAAGAAC
RNAcentral lists this long non-coding RNA (1052 nucleotides) under Sus scrofa (pig). RNAcentral describes it as "lncRNA (ENSSSCG00030047547.1)". Lineage: Eukaryota; Metazoa; Chordata; Mammalia; Artiodactyla; Suidae. The record is from RNAcentral.